Sarcophilus harrisii (Tasmanian devil) is the source of this 589-nucleotide long non-coding RNA. RefSeq lists it as uncharacterized. The transcript has 3 exons. The record is from RefSeq and is a predicted model, not a curated record. Lineage: Eukaryota; Metazoa; Chordata; Mammalia; Dasyuromorphia; Dasyuridae.
AAUCUGUACAACCUCAUCACCAUGUGUAUAAUUGUGACAGAACACUAGGGGUAUCUCCAAAGAGAGCAAUGCUAGCAGGAGCCUUGCCCACUGACCCAUCCGAAACAUUUUAGAGCUUUGUCCUUUUGAACCUAUAGCAUUGGACCCUUAUUUUUAUAUUCUGUAUAGUGGGGGUGGUGGAGGGUAUUAAUGGAUAAGCAGGAAAGGUUUCAAUGUAGCUGCUAUGUCUCUGAACUUUUGAGAUCUUAUGGCUUUAAUCUACAAGCAAAGAUGGUUCCUUCUAAUCAUGCUGUCAUAAGAAACUUUGUGGAUGAAAAGAUAAACAAAAAACCAGAGAAAGGAGUGAUCCAAUACAUCCAGAGCUGGAAGAUUACUCAGUGCAACUUUCUAGUCUUGGGAGGGAAGGUGUGGAAGGUGCAAAUGCCAAGGUUGGAAGAUCCCUGGGUUACAAGAUUGCCUUCGAAAGAGCAUUCUGGGAGCCUUCUUCAGAACAGCUUCAAAGGCCAUGUGUAAUAAUGAUGUGAAACAUUUAACAAUAAAUUCAACUAUGCCCCAAAAGUUAUUAAACUGUGCAUACCCUUUGAUCCAG